Molecule: non-coding RNA, 269 nt
Organism: Paramuricea clavata
Lineage: Eukaryota; Metazoa; Cnidaria; Anthozoa; Malacalcyonacea; Plexauridae
Source: the annotation of a GenBank genome assembly
CUAAACUUUUCAUAUUACACGAACUUUAAUGUAUAUAUGAACACAGUGUACUAAACUUGUUCGUAAAUCUGCGACUCAAUGGGUUAACUAGACACAUGGGCAGAUAGGUUAGUUAACCCAUUAAGUGCCAGCGCUCUCCCCUUGACGAGUAAGAUUAUCAGGCGUUAGACAGAGUAAAAUAAUCUGGCGUUGGACAGAGUAAAAGAAUAAAGUGGGGCGCAUCCGGGUGCAAUGCAACUCAAUGGGUUAACUGUUAAGGAUUAUUCAAG